GGAGCCCAAAUCAGCUAUCGCAGAAAUAGAAAAAAAGAGUGGAUCAGCAAUAAACAAUCAGCUUCUAAAAGUAAAAACAAAAGUUGUGAAAGCUGCCGUACGAAAUAAAUUAUCCUUGCCAUCAAUUUUGCAUACCAUGAAUUGAUAAUCUCCGUGUGAGUCGUAUCCGCAACAUUUAAAUUUGAACUUCGAAAAAGGAACAUACCUACAAAAUAUGUGGACCGUGAACAAGCCGCUGCAAUUUCUGUUACAAUACAAUCCAAUUUUAAAGAACUGCAGAAACAGAGUCUACAGGAGGAAGUUAUUGGCUGAUACCAGAAAACAAAAUUUAAGAAAAUUAUCAAAAUUGUUCGAUUUUUACGGAAAAUCGUCGCAUUCAACAUGGAAAAAUAAUGAGCUAAAUCGACCCACAUUUCCUAAGGAUCCAUCGAUCCGUCGAAAUAAUCUGCCUUUGAUGUUUGUUCGAAUGGUACUGGAUGUGUAGUUAAUGUUGCUGUGAGAGUUACAUUCAUUGAAAAGGGAAAUAAGAAGAAUCGGAAUAACUAUGUUUUUACUAAUGCGGAAAACGUAAAAAACUAUGAAAUGUAGUCUGAUAGUGAAUAUUUAUAUGUGAUUCGAAUUUAUAACGUAAUAAUAUACAAUCUCUGAUUAAUAUGCAUUUCCCAAAUAAUUUUAACUUUAUUUAUGUUUCUCCCUCCACUUAUUUUUGUCCAAUUCACCAUCGACGUAGGGAUAAAGCAACUUUUUUGGGAAAACUUCUGAAUGAACAUGAUAGAUCGAACUGUUGCCAAUUAAGAAAGGUUCUUUGAUGUUCCAAAACUAAAGGGUUUGCGUUUGACAACUCUGGUUCAAGGAAAGCUGGUGCUGAAAUUUAACUUUCAAUUAAUAAAAUAUUCUCCUAAUAUUAUUUUCUUAUGUACUUACUUAUGUAAUGUUCUUUCCUCAUUCCAUUUUUUUUCCAAUAGCCGGCGACGGUAAUAAAUUUUCUUAGAG
Long non-coding RNA from Uranotaenia lowii, 993 nucleotides. RefSeq lists it as uncharacterized. The transcript is spliced from 3 exons. The record is from RefSeq and is a predicted model, not a curated record. NCBI's taxonomy places the organism in Eukaryota, Metazoa, Arthropoda, Insecta, Diptera, Culicidae.